UAAAACUUUCAACAACGGAUCUCUUGGCUCUGGCAUCGAUGAAGAACGCAGCGAAAUGCGAUAAGUAAUGUGAAUUGCAGAAUCCAGUGAAUCAUCGAAUCUUUGAACGCACAUUGCGCCCGCCAGCAUUCUGGCGGGCAUGCCUGUUCGAGCGUCA
Molecule: ribosomal RNA, 157 nt
Filed under: Beauveria bassiana
Lineage: Eukaryota; Fungi; Ascomycota; Sordariomycetes; Hypocreales; Cordycipitaceae
Description: 5.8S ribosomal RNA
Rfam family: 5.8S ribosomal RNA
About the family: 5.8S ribosomal RNA (5.8S rRNA) is a component of the large subunit of the eukaryotic ribosome. It is transcribed by RNA polymerase I as part of the 45S precursor that also contains 18S and 28S rRNA. Functionally, it is thought that 5.8S rRNA may be involved in ribosome translocation.
Source: RNAcentral